RNAcentral lists this ribosomal RNA (616 nucleotides) under Neoechinorhynchus agilis. RNAcentral describes it as "SSU rRNA". It matches the Rfam family "Eukaryotic small subunit ribosomal RNA", at positions 573 to 1158 of the family's 1831-position model. Lineage: Eukaryota; Metazoa; Acanthocephala; Eoacanthocephala; Neoechinorhynchida; Neoechinorhynchidae. The record is from RNAcentral.
CCCNCGUAAUUCCAGCUCGAAUAGCGUAUGUUAAAUUUGCUGCGGUUAAAAAGCUCGUAGUUGGGAGUCAGGAGAUGAACUGUGCGCUGUCAUGUCACAAAAUGACGUGUAUAGCAUUGCACCAGAUUCACUUCUUUAACAUCGCUGCUCCUGCGUCGUCAAAGACCCAAUUAAGUUUGGGAGGCGCAUUUAAAAGGGAAGGCGAGUAACUACUUUGAGAAAAUUAGCGUGCUUAACGCAAGCGUCUUGCUUGAAUACUGUUGCAUGGAAUAAUGAGAUAGGACCUUGGUUCUGUUUCGUUGGUUUCCGGAAGCCGAGGUAAUGAUUGAUAGGGAUAAACGUGGGCAUUCGUAUUGUGGUGUUAGAGGUGAAAUUCGAUGAUCACCGCAAGACGUACAACUGCGAAAGCAUUUGCCAAGAAUGUUUUCAUUAAUCAAGAACGAAAGUUAGAGUUUCGAAGACGAUUAGAUACCGUCCUAGUUCUAACUAUAAACUAUGCCAACUGGGCAUCUGGCGCUUGCAACUUAAAAGCAUCGCCAGGCACCCCGCGGGAAACCAAAGUUAUUGGGUUCCGGGGGGAGUAUGGUUGCAAAAUCGAAACUUAAAGGAAUUGACG